RNAcentral lists this long non-coding RNA (1109 nucleotides) under Heterocephalus glaber (naked mole-rat). Its description in RNAcentral is "lncRNA (ENSHGLG00100051709.1)". Lineage: Eukaryota; Metazoa; Chordata; Mammalia; Rodentia; Bathyergidae. The record is from RNAcentral.
AGUGGAGGGACUGGAGCUCAGGCCUCCUGCUUUUUUGUCCUGGGAGAGACUUGCCACGCAGUGCAGAGCUGGCCUGGAGGUCACCCCACCCCCAUCGCCACUGAAAGGAGCCAAAGAGGGGGCAGGGGGCAGAACUGGGGCUCCCUCUUUGGCUGUGCUGCCCGUGGCUAUCUAGCAGAACGACCCUGGCGAGCCUGGGAGUGGGGAGACGCAGAUGGCUUCGACCUUGGCCCGGCGCCGGCACCGUGACUCAUUUUCUUCAUCCGUCCAUGAGACCAUCGGACUGGAUGUUCUGGAAGAGUCCUUCAGGGCCUGAAUCAAAUUUCUCCUGCACUGGCUCCCUUCCCCUGGCACUGCCGGCUCCUCCGCAGCCUAAAUGCUGCAGGGGCGGAGUGUGUACGUACUUACGAGGGGAGCGGCGCCAGAUUUUUGCUUGACCAGACUUGGACUCCUGAGCCUUCCGCUGGGAAACCAGUGCUAGCCGGAGCCCCCCACCGCCCACAUCUCUCAGGAUCCCUCGCCAGGUGAUGCGGGAUCGCCCCUACCUGCCUUCAGCUAUAACCGUGCUGGGCGGCUUUAGAUCGAACCCCUCACCCUUCGUGUUUCCUCUUAGACAUUUCCCAGCCGUGCCCCACCCUGCUCCUUGGCUAGGUCUCCCUUCCUGCCCCCCGGAACUUGAGCCCACAUUCCCCACUGCUGAACCCCACCUCAGUGGUCCUGUGCUUGUCUCAAGGGUCCUGAAUAGACUGUGCUUUAACGAAUGUCCCUGAAUAGUGGAGUUUGAAUCCAAGACCUUCCCGCCGAGCUGCAUCCCCAGGCCCUUUAAAGAUUUUUUAAAAAUGUGUUUUAUUUUCAGGGAGGUAGAUCUUUUUUUUUUUGGUACCGGGGAUUGAACUCAAGACCUUGUGCUUGCUAGGCAGGCGGUGGAACCACUGAGCUAAAUCCAUGGCUCAGAUCUUUUGCAAAUAGAAAAAAGACCAAGAGAUGAAGAAAGAAGGGGGAGGAAAGAAAAAGGGGAUGUAAAAAGAAUUAAGAUGUGUUAUGUACAUGUACCAACUCCCCAUGAUGAAUGUAAUCACUAUGUACUAAUAAAAAUAAAAAUUUAAAAA